GGUACAGGCUGGGAUUGUAGUCCUGCAGCCUUGUGGCCGAAGGGCUGGGACUGGCCAUGAGAUUACAUGUCCUAGCAUGCUCAGCCAGGCGCGCGCAGCUCUGCCCCUUCCUCCAGUGAUGCGCACAGUCCCUGAUCCCUGUGCACGCUGGGAUUGUAGUCCUGCAGCCCUGCGAUCACUUGCAGAGCUGUUCCGCCAUGCAGACGGGGAGCCUGCCUGUUCUUUAACCUCUCCUACCUGAUGGGAGAGGACAAGCUACCAGGACAGCUUGUCUCACCAAGAAAUUGUGAUACCGCAUCCCCCAACGUGCUGGCUUCCUGACUUCCAAAGUUGCGGCAAGGUAAGAAGAACUACAGAGGAAGAACCUAAUGCAGACGUUUCCCAGGAGACUUUAACUGAAGUAUCAGCAAACUGAAAGGUAACGAGAGAAUCUUGUGCCUCUGAGGGUGUCUUUCCCAUGGAUCCCUGCUCAGUUGCCUUUCACGGGCCCCCUGAUUUGCGUGAACUCCUGACCUCAGAUGAUCCGCCUGCCUUGGCCCUCCAAAGUGCUGGAAUUAUAGGCAUGAGCCACCGUGCCUGGCCUGUUCCAUGCAUUAAAAAAAAAUAAAAAAAUUAAAAAAAAUCAGUGAGAACAAGAAGAAAUGUAAAUGCUGGGCUUUUCAUAUAAAUCCAGGGAAUUAUGGGACAGUUAGUACCCACCUCCCAGGGUAUUAUAAGGAUAAAUUCAUGUCAUCUUCCCAGCUCCGUAGCGUGCUUCUGAGCACACAGAGCAUGCUCCAUAAACAUUGCAUUAACGCAUGUGUGCAUGUUGUUUUCCAAAUGCAGACUUACUCAGACAUGAGCUGCCUUCUCCAGCCUCUGUAAAGUUUAAAGGACCAGCAGAGUGUGCCAUGUUUUAGGAUAGUGAUUGGUGGUUUUUAUUUUGGACUGAAAGCAUUUAUGUUGUGAGAAGAGUAUAGGUUUAAGGAACUGUGUGCUGUGGCACUUUGUCUAGUUGAGUGCUGCUAUAAGUGAUCUAGGGCAAGUAGGGUCAGCAUUAGCUGUGAAUGAAGCCAAUCCAUGGACCCCUUUCAAACCUGCAGAAUUGGCCAGGCAUGGUGGCUCAUGCCUGUAAUCCCAGCACUUUGGGAGGCCGAGGCGGGUGGAUCACUUGAGGUCAGGAGGUCGAGACCAGGCUGACCAACAUGGAGAAACCCCGUCUCUACUAAAAAAUACAAAAUUAGCCGGAUGUGGUGGCACAUGCCUGUAAUACCAGCUACUCGGGAGGCUGAGGAAGGAGAAUUGCUUGAACCUGGGAGGUGGAGCUUGUGGUGAGCUGAGAUUGCGUGCCAUUGCACUCCAGCUUGGGCAAGAAGAGCGAAACUCCAUCUCAAAAAAAAAAAAAAAAGAAAAAAAGAAAAAAAGGGAAAAAAGAAAACAUUAAAUGCAGCAAGAUGCAGGUCAGAGCAUACCUCCAUUUGUGUGCUCUUGUGGACAAAAUUUAAAUGGCAAAUAAGAUUUUGCAUUUAUUGACGUUUUUCUUUACAUUGCUGUAAGUACAAAUACCCAUUUAUCCUUUGACCUCCUAUAUCUUUAUUCUGUAUGCAUAUGAAAAAAAAUGCUAGAUCUGUAUCUAGAUUAUACAUGGGUAAACACAACAUAUAGAAUUAUAUGACUUUGCCUAUGUAGAUAUUUAUGUAUACAAUAGAUAUUAAUCAACAUUUUAAAUUCCCCAGCCUACACUGCGGAUGCAGAUAUAAACUUACUCUCACCUAUAUGGAUCCAUACCAUCUCAGACUGGAAAACAGCCAUACAAGGUUAUGUUUAAACAUCAAUAAAGCUUCACAUAUAGGUGCAUGGCCUGGGAAGUAUGUUUUUGGUAAAGCCAUCUUAGACUCUAGUUCCAGCUUAGCAUUUCAGGGCCCUGCUUCCUUUCUCACUGUAUGCCUGUGUGAUUCACAUUUGCCAUUUGGGUCGAUUGACUUAUAUCCAUCUAAGCUGAUCUAAGUGGUUUAUUAAACUCAUCUGGGCUGCAGAAGUUGAGAAGGAAAGCAACCUCUGACCUACUUAUUCUGAGGCUUGUCUACAGGACAUAUGCAAUAAUGGGAAUUACAUUGACAUACCUAUGUUACCCAUUUUCUGUUUUUUUUUUUGAGAUGGAGUUUCACUCUUGUUGGCCAGGCUGGAGUGCAAUGGUGCAAUAUCAGCUCACUGCAACCUCUGCCUCCUGGGUACAAGCGAUUCUCCUACCUCAGCCUCCCGAAUAGCUGGGAUUACAGGCACCUGCCACCACACCUGGCUAAUUUUUUGUAUUUUUACUAGAGAUGGGGUUUCACCAUGUUGGCCAGGCUGGUCUCGAACUCCUGACCACAGGUGAUCCACCCACCUCGGCCUCCCAAAGUGCUGGGAUUACAGGCAUGAGCCACCGUGCCUGGCCUUUCUGUGUAUAUGUUUAUCUAGCCACCGAUAUCAUAUCUAUAUGUAUAAAAAAGACCACCAAAGUGCUCAGAGGUGAUUUUUAUUUUCCAUUCAGGCCAAGUAAAUCCAAUCAGCCAUUAGCUCAGUGAAGAUUUGUCAAAUCCAAGCCACACACCAAAUCACGUUAUGCUAAAUGUGAAAAUGUCCUCAUUACUGGGCACCAAGGUGUUUUAAAUUCAGAGUCUAAUCAAAACAGCUCAUGGGGUUCUGUCCAUCCAGCUAGGACGCUUCAGACAUACCAGUGGGCCUAACCUUUUUCACAAGGAGCUCUGGCCUGGCCAACAAGAAUCACCUUUGGUGCUUCAGUGCAGUGUCACCAUCACCUGUUUGAAAUGCAGCCAGGUAACAUGUACCAUUUUAUUUGCUUUCAGUAUCACAGUCUAUCUUCUAAUAAGAAACCUAGGCCUCUGGCUGGGUGUGGUGGCUUACACCUGUAACCCAGCACUUUGAGAGGCUGAGGUGGGUGGAUCACUUGAGGUCAGGAGUUCGAGACCACCCUGGCCAACAUGGUGAAACUCCCAUCUCUACUAAAAAUAUUAAAAUUAGCUGGGCAUGGUGGCAUGUGCCCUCUAAUCCCAGGUACUAGGGAGGCUGAGGCAGGAGAAUCACUUAAAACCGGGAGGCGGAGGUUGCAGUGAGCUGAGAUGAUGCCACUGCACUCCAGCCUGGGCAACAAGAGUGAAACUCCAUCUCAAAAAAAAAAAAAAAAAGGAUUUUUUUUUUUUUUUUUUUCUGUGCUGGGUUUACUUAGCAUACCUUUCAGAUUCAUGAAUGUUGCAAAUAACAAGACUUUAUUUUUAAGGGCUGAAUGGCAUUUCAUUGUGUACAUAUACCACAUUUUCUUUCUCCAUUCACCUACUGAUGAACACUCAGGUUGAUUCCAUACCUUAGUUAUUAUCAGUAAUCCACUUCCUUCCCUUUCAUUUGUGUUUGUUUUGUUUUGUUUGAGAUGGAGUCUCAUUCUGUCACCCAAGCUGGAGUGCAGUGGCGCGGUCUUGGCUAACAGCAACCUCCGCCUCCCAGGUUCAAGCAAUUCUCCUGCCUCAGCCUCUCGAGUAGCUGGUAUUACAGGCACGCACCACCACGCCCAGGUAAUUUUGUAUUUUUAGUAGACAUGGGGUUUCUCCAUGUUGGUAAGGCUGAUCUCCAACUCCCGACCUCAGGUGAUCCACCUGCCUCUGCCUCUCAAAGUGCUGGAAUUACAGGCUUAAGCUACCAUGCCUGGCCAAAAGCCUAGGUUUCUUUCUAUGUAAGCCUAGGUUUAUUUCUAUGUGAAGUGUAAAAGAAAUUUAAACUCAUAGAAGCAGAGAGUACAAUAAUGAAAAAAAAAAAAAAUCUCCUAUGGGGUUUUUUGUCUGAUUGAGAGCUUCUUCAUGAUCUUUCAGGGAUUGUAUUUUCUUUCAUCUUCUGCAUCCUCCUGUUUUUUAGCCAAUGGAUGAAAAAAAAUACAGAGAAGACACAUUUGCUUUUAUCCACUGCACUUCCACUCACUAUUAGUCAUUGUGGAUACAGCUGAGAAUAGCAGUUUUCUGGCAGGACAGCCACUUCUCAGUAAUAAACAACUGAAAAAGUAUAAAUGUGUCAUAAAAAGCUAAUAGAUUUUAAGAAAAACAAGCAUAGGCAUCAAUAAUGUUUGUGGUAAAUAAAGAUUCAUAUUGUUGAUUUCUAUUGAGCUCCCGUAAUAUUUGAUAAAAGCUUGCAAAUAUACAGCAGAAAAGGAGUAUUAUUCUAAAUCAGAAUAUUGUUAUGGCUAUUUUGUCAAUAGAAGUCAAUAUCCAAUAUACAGAAUGGUUAUUUUGUCAAUGUAAGUAAAAAUAUGACUUCACACUAAUAGUCUCACCAAUAGUUGUAAUCAAAUGCUAUUUUUUAUUUAAAAUUUUAUUUCAUAUAAGUAAUCCCAGGCGGGCGGAUCAUGAGGUCAAGAGAUCGAGACCAUCCUUGCCAACAUGGUGACAGCCCAUCCCUACUAAAAAUACAAAAAUUAGCUAAGCAUGGUGGCACAUGCCUGUAGUCCCAGCUAUUCGGGAGGCUGAGGUAGGAGAACCACUCGAUCCCGGGAGCUGAGAUCACGCCACUGCACUCCAGCCUGGGGACAGAGCAAGACUCCAUCUCAAAAAAAAAAAAAAAAAAGGUCUAUAUGUUUGCAGACAGACCAGAUGUUCAAAGAAAACUAUAUAAUAAACAUUUACUAAUAAUUUUUCAGGAUUCAGAAAUACAUGGAUUCUAUUUCUAUUUCUUUGUUUUUUUUUGAAAUAGAGUCUUGCUCUGUUGCCCAGACUGGAAUGCAGUGGCGUGAUCUCAGCUCACUGCAACCUCCACCUCCGGGGUUCAAGCGAUUCUCUCCUGCCUCAGCCUCCAGGUGUGUGCCACCAUGUCUGGCUAAUUUUUGUGUUUUUAGUAGAGCUGGGUGUUGGGGUUCAAUCAGGCUGGUGGGAAAAAUAUUUAAAAGAGUAACAGUCAAAAGCUGUCCUAAAAGGCCUGAGAGUUUGCAUAGCUUGAUUGCUUGGCUGAAGGCAGCCAGGGUCUCUUUGCAGGAGGCCAGGAAGAUUAGGGUGCAAGUGAAAAGGAAUGUAGGAAGUUUAUCUUACUAACCUGUUUAGUUAUAUGGGCUUAAGACUAACUUUUGUCCUGCUGAGGGUACUUUACUGCCGCCUACUCGGGGGUCCGCAGUUUAUUACCCACAAAUGGUGUUUGCUUUAGGCCUGGGAACCUGGCCUUUAAUUUUACCCUCUAGUGGUGUUUACUCACAACUUUUGUUAAUUAGUCUUACUGAAUAAAUGCAAGCCUCACUAUCUGAUCAGAGCCAAGUUGCAACUGUUUACAGAACUCACCUUGGAGCCUGUAAGCGGCUCGGACCCUCAGCUGGACUGGCAGAGCAGAAUGUGUGUCAGUGUACUUUAUUCAUCCACAGCGAGUGCCCCCGCGAAAGGAGCGCUUCCUCAGACGGGGUUUCACUAUGUUGGCCAGGAUGGUCUUGAACUCCUGACCUCAGACAAUCCACCUGCCUUGGAAAGUGCUGGGAUUACAGGCCUGAGCCACUGCACCUGGCCAUAUUUUAUUUAUUUUUCUGUAUAAUUUUUAUUAUGACCAUAAAAAUAAACCUGUAGUCAGUAACAAUUUAAUUGUACAUUUUAAAAUAAUUAAAAAUGUAUAAUUACACUGUAAUUCAAAGGAUAAAUGCUAGAGGUGAUGGAUACUUUACCCUAAUGUAAUUACUACAUAUUGUAGGCCUGAAUCAAAAUAUGCCAUAUAAGGCAUAAAGAUAUACACAUACUGUAUACCCACAAAUACUAGUAAUAGAUUUCAAUAAGAAAAAAAAUUUAAGCUAUGGGAACAAUUCAACUCAUUUGCAGUUUAAAGCCACUGGCAAAGUGACAAGUAGAGAUGUUAUUCCACUACGUACCAAACAGUAUAUUGUUACCAUCUUUUAAGUACACCCUUGAUUAAGGUGGGAUAGGUUAAAGUUAGUGGCAUAAUGGCCAGGUGCGGUGGCUCACGCCUGUAAUCCCAGCACUUUGGGAGGCCGAGGUGGGCGGAUCACAAGGUCAGGAGAUUGACCAUCCCGGCUAACACAGUGAAACCCCAUCUCUACUAAAAAUACAAAAAAAUUAGCCGGGCAUGGUGGCGGGUGCCUGUAGUCCCAGCUACUCAGGAAGCUGAGGCAGGAGAAUGGUGUGAACCUGGGAGGUGGAGGUUGCAGUGAGCCGAGAUCGUGCCACAGCACUCCAGCCUGGGUGAAAGACCGAGACUCCAUCUCAAAAAAAAAGAAAAAAAGUUAGUGGCAUAAUAAUGCUUCAUUAAACGCAGAAUAGUCUUAACAUGGUAUAAAAAAUGAAAUUAAGUUCACACAUCAUCUAACAAUUUUUAAAUAUACUGCAUUCGAUUACAUAAAAGUACAGUUAGUAAAAUAAUAUUCUCAUUUAAUACUUUUAACUGUAAUUUUUCUCACUAUAAUGUAGAAAACUAUUACUCUGAACCCCCACUUUUUAAAAAUCUUUAUUAAUAAAGUAAUUCAUUAUAAUUUUUGAAAAAAAAAGUUUUAAAAUGGUCUGCCAACAUGUUAAUGUAGGUUAGGCCAUCCAAAAGACAAAGCAAAACAUCAACAUUAAGUCAUAGGCUAGGAUUAUACAAAUGAGAACCCCCACCUUAUACAUUACUUAAUAUAAGUUAACUACAAAGAGCCUCUCCACUUACAUUUUUAUCAUGCAUCUUACAUUUUAAUGUCCUUAUUCUUUUAUAGAAAAGGUCAUAAUACCCAAUAAAAAAGAAUCUGUAAUAUCCCUGAUGCAGCAACAAUUGAUCACAUGCUUUCACAUGUGACCACAAUAGGAAUAAAAUAACAGCGUAAAGAAAUUUGAAAGUUGUAUUACAUCAUUAUUCACUGUUCAAAAAUUUUUUUCAAGAAACAAGUACACUUUCAAUGAAAUUACAAUGCUUCAGAAAAUCUCCCUUUUAAAGUUAUAUACAAAAACAGCUUUAGUUGUGGAUUCAUUUUUAUACUCAAUACUCUGAUUUAGUGUAAUGUCUGAAGUGUCAGUGCCUUAUUCUAGUGUAAAUUCUCAUAUUUACGUAAAAUCAAUUUUGAAUUAAAUAUUUUUUUCAUAUUUACAUCUGCAAAAAUAUACUUUAGUAUAAACUCUCUGAUGUUUUCUAAGCUAUAGAUUUUGAAAAAAAAAGUCUUUCCAAAUUCAUUAUAUUUGCAGGACUCUUCUCCAAUAUAAAUUCCAUGUUGUUGAAUAAAGCUGGAGCAACUGCUUCAGGUUUUCCUCUAGUACACAAUGUGUGCAACAAGAUCUGUGAUACAAGUAAAGGUACUACAACCCCCCCUUAUAUUUGUAAUAGCUGAUUUCAGAAUAAAUAUUCUUCUUUAAAGGCUUAUAUUUUCUGAAAGAUUUUUUGACAGUAAUUGCACUUUUAUUGCUUUUAUUAACUAUGAACCUUCUGUUGAGAUGUGAGUGGGCGUUAAUGGCGUUUCCAUAUUCUUUAUAUCUGUACGAUUUUUCUCAAGGAUAAAAGCUUUCCUGUGAAAUAAGGUGUAAGCACUCAAAAGUUUUGCCACAUUCUUCACACUUGUAGGAGUUUUGGCAGCAUUAAUUCUCUUACCUACAAUCAAGUGUGGCAACCAUAUAAACGCUUUGUCUCAUUUCAUACAUUUCCAGGGUUUCACAUUAGUAUAAUUUAUUUUUAUGUAUACAAAAGUUGGAGGUGGUGGUAAAAGCACUGUUGCAUCUUUCAGGUUUGUAGAGUUCCUCUUCAGCAUGAAUUAUCGCCAUGUCUCUUAAGAAUUGAGAACUUGUGGCUGGGCGUCGUGGCUCAUGCCUGUCAUCUCAGCACUUUAGGAUGCCGAGGUGGGUGGACCAUCUGAGGUCAGGAGUUGGAGACCAGUCUGGCAAACAUGAUGAAACCCCAUCUCUACUAAAAAUACAAAAAUUAGCUGGGCAUGGUGGUGGGCACCAGUAAUCCCAGCUACUCGGGAGGCUGAGGCAGGAGAAUGGCUUGAUACCAGGAGGCAGAAGUUGCAGUGAGCUGAGAUCGUGCCAUUGCACUCCAGCCUGGGUGACAAGAGUGAAACUCCAUCUCAAAAAACAAAAAGAGUUGACAGGUUGUUAUAGGCUUUGCCAUAUUCUUCACACUUGUAGGGUUUCUGUCCAGUAUAAAUUAUGUGUAAUAAGGGUUGAGAACUUCCUUAAAAAGCUUUGUCACAUUCUUUAUAUUUGUAGGGUUUAUGUUCCAUAUAAAUUCUCAUAUUUAGUCAGAGUCCAGGGCUAGUUAAAGGCUUUCCCACAUUCAUCACAUUCAUACGGUUUCUCUCCAGUAUGAAUUAUCUUAUGCUUAUUAAGGGUUGAGGAACAUUUAAAAGAUUUUCCACAUUCUUCACUAUGCAGGGUUUCUGUCUAAUAUGAAUUUUCUUAUGUUUAUUAAGGGCUGAGGACCAGUUAAAAGCUUUGCCACAUUCUUCACAUUUGUACGGUUUCUCUCCAGUAUGAAUUAUCUUAUGUUCAGUUAGAGUUGAGAAUGCAGUAAAGGCUUUGCCACAUUCUUCACACUUGUAGGGUUUCUCUCCAGUAUGAGCUCUCUUAUGUUUAGAGAGGCUUGAGUACCAGGUAAAGGUUUUGCCACAUUCGUCACAUUUGUAGGGUACAUCUCCAGUAUGAAUUCUCUUAUGUUUAGUAAGGUUUGAGGAACGGUUAAAAGCUUUGCCACAUUCCUCACAUUUGUAGGGUUUCUCUCCAGUAUGAAUUAUCUCAUGUUUAGUAAGGGUUGAGGAUGAAAUAAAGGCUUUGCCACAUUUAUCACACUUGUAUGGUUUCUCUCCAGUAUGAAUUUUCUUAUGUGAAAAAAGGGUUGCAGGGUGGUUAAAAGCUUUGCCACAUUCUCUACAUCUGUAGGGUUUCUCUCCAGUAUGAAUUAUCUUAUGUGUAGUAAGGUUACAGGACUGCUUAUAGGCUUUGCCACAUUCUUCACAUUUGUAGGGUUUCUCUCCAGUAUGAAUUUUCUUAUGUGUAGUAAGGUGUGAGGACUGCUUAUAGGCUUUACCACAUUCUUCACAUUUAUAGCGUUUCUCUCCAGCAUCAAUUUUCUUAUAUGUAGUACGGGUUGAAGACUGGUUAAAAGUUUUCCCAUAUUCUAUACAUUUAAAAGAUUUUUUUCCAGUAUCUCUUAUCUUAUGUUUGUUUGAAUUUGAAAAUUUAUGCAAGAAUUUCACAUAUUCAUCACAUUGAAAUAUUUUUCUCUGGGUAGUUGCCAAACAUUGUUUAAGUCCAUUAUAACCUCUUUUGUGCACUGGACACUCAUCUACACUUUCACAGCCUUUUUUUAACUGUAAAUUGUCAUGUCUACAUUUUUCAUAUCUUCUUAGUAUCACUUUUUGGAAAGAAUCUUUUAUGCUCUGCUCUGACCAAAGGUCUUGGGCAAAAUGAGAAUACAUAACUGAAAGAAACAAUAAAAACACAUGACUUCAAUUGCUAGACUCAGAUAAAUAUACUUCACAAAUCUAACCUAUAAAAUUAUACAAACUACGUAAGCAAGAUGACACAGCAAAAUACCACAAGCUGUAAUUUCUUCCUGGAUAUAUAACUGUAACAAAAACAUACUGACCAAAAUACAUUUGUAAAAAAUUUAUAAAUUAGUUAAGUGUGUAAAGGGCUCCAGGUGAGCACAAUGCAAAGAGCCACAUAGAAAAAUAGAAAAAAAGAAAAGUCUGUUACUUAUACCCAACACAGCUCUUCCUGCUCUCCAGUAUAACAUUGUGCCUUUAAAAGUAAAUUGCGGGCCCGGUGUGGUAGCUCACACCCGUGACCCCAGCACUCCGGGAGGCUGAGGCAGGUGGAUCAUGAGGUCAACAGUUCAAGACCAGCCUGGCAAAGAUGGUGAAACCCCGUCUCUACAAAACUACAAAACGUUAGCCAGGUGUGGUAACAGAUACCUGUAAUCCAGUUACUUGGGAGGCUGAGGGAGGAGAAUUGCUUGAACUGUGGAGGCAGAGAUUGUAGUGAGCCAAGAUCAUGCCAUUGUACUCCAGCCUAGGUAACAGAGUGAGACUCUGUCUCACACAUGCACACAAAUAUGUAAAUUGCCAACCCCUGGUUUCUUUUUUAAAAAACAAGAAAAGUAUUGGCACAUACAUCUUUAUUUCUGGAUUCUAGGGGCUUUUUUAUUUUUAUUUUUUAUUUUAUUUAUUUAUUUAUUUUGAGGUAGAGUCUCGCUCUGUCUCCCAGGCUGGAGUGCAGUGGCGCAAUCUCGGCUCACUGCAAGCUCCGCCUCCCGGGUUCACGCCAUUCUCCUGCCACAGCCUCCCAACUAGAUGGGACUACAGGUGCCCGCCACCAUGCCCGGCUAAUUUUUUGUAUUUUUAGUAGAGAUGGAGUUUCACCGUGUUAGCCAGGAUAGUCUCAAUCUCCUGACCUCGUGAUCCGCCCGCCUCGGCCUACCAAAGUGCUGGGAUUACAGGCAUGAACCACCGUGCCCGGCCUCUAGGGGCUUUUUAAAAUACUGGUUAAUGUCUCCCACGACAUGAAAUGGUAAUAUACGUUGGAAUGACACUUUGAGUCUAAAGGUAAAUGUUUCAGAAGCAAAGAAACUGCAGUAUCCCAAACACGGAAUGGGUGUAGCAAGUGAUUACUGAUUUAUUAAGAAGAAAUAAGAAUAAGCCGAUUUAACUAAACAACACAAAAUUUUAGACAAGACACAUCCUAAAAAUAUGUUUGAGAAAUUCCAAGAAUCGCUAUCCAAGACGAUUGAUUUUCAGACUAUGCGAGGACAGAGCUAUAUUAUAAAAAUCAUAACAGGUAGCUUUUUGUUCAUGUCCAAAUCUCAAAGAUUACAAUGUAUACAAAAUAUUAGGGCAACAUGGCCCCAUCAAAAAAAUUAUAAAAUUUUCAAAAGCAACAAUAAAAAGUGUAUAAUUUUUAAAAUUCCAAAUAAAUUGAACAGGCCAGGCUUGGUGGCUCAUUCCUGUAAUCCCAACACACUGGGAGGCCAAGGUGGGGAAAUCAGAUGAGGUCAGGAGUUUGAGACCAGCCUGGCCAACAUGGUGAAACCCUGUCUCUACUAAAAAUACAAAAAAUUAGCUAGCCGUGUUGACAGGCACCUGUAAUCCCAGCUAUUCAGGGGGCUGAGGCAGGAGUAUUGCUUGAAUGUGGGAGGCGGAGGUUGCAGUGAGCUGAGAUUACGCCACUGCACUCCAGGGCGAGACUCCGUCUCAGGAAAAAAAAAAAAAAAAAAACAAAUAAAAUAAAUUUAAUUUUCACAAAGUGAAACAGGAACACAGACAACUACUGAAGAUUAGAAAAACGAGGAUAACAACGAAAAAAUAUUAAAAUAGAAAACAAAAAUUGUGGGUGUAAAAAAUACAAAAACUAAGUGAAAAAUUUCUUAAAAGAAAAAAUUGUGUAAAUAGGGCAAAGCUGAAAAGCUGAACAAACAAACUAGGAUAUACCCAAACAUCUAUUUAUAACAAACACAUAUAUAAACAAAAUUCCAAAAAUCACAGAUAAGAAGAGAAUUUUGGGAGCUGCAAGAUAAAAAUGAUGGUCAUUUAUAAGCAUAGUCUUAUGAGAUAACCAAUAAAUUGAUCAAAAACAUUUUUGUAGGUCAAAAGGAAACUGUGAUAUUGUUAUUAAAGUUAUAAUAAAAAAAGAUGUCAAGUGGGAAUAGUACCAUCACCAAAAUUGUACUACCAAAUAAAAAGAAGUCCUUCCAAAAUAACCAAAUCCUGAGAAAGUAUAUUGGCACUGCAUAUGCCCUACAUAUCAAGGAUGCUGAAAGGAGUUUUUUUCCACAGAAAAUAACAUAAUGCAAGAAAACAACACAUAAUCAUCUGAAGAUAUGUAAGUUUCUGGAAAAGAUAGGCACAUUCAUAAAAAUGGAAUUUCUUACUUAACUAAUGUUAAUUAGUUAUGUUAAUCAUAAUGGUACAGUUUAAAAGAUAAAAGUAUGGAAAUUAUGAACAUCUGUUAAUGAAUAGACAACAUAAAAAAUAUAAUUAGUAAAAUCAAUAACAAAUGUGAAGGUAGAUGUAAUAAUGAGGAAUUUCUGUAUGCAACUGAAGUUAAUUUUUUACUACAUUAAAAUAUAUUGUUGGAUCUUUUAGAGGUUUUAGAUAAUCCCCCAAGGUACUACUAAGAAAAUAUCCGAGGCCAGGCACGGUGGCUCACGCCUGUAAUCCCAGCACUUUGGGAGGCCGAGGCGGGCGGAUCACAAGGUCAGGAGAUGGAGACCAUCCUGGCUAACACGGUGAAACCCCGUCUCUAUUAAAAAUACAAAAAAAAAAAAAUUAGCCGGGUGUAGAGGUGGGCGCCGGUAGUUCCAGCUACUCGAGAGGCUGAGGCAGAAGAAUGGUGUGAACCCGGGAGGCGGAGCUUACAGUGAGCCAAGAUCGCGCCAGGGCACUCCAGCCUGGGCGACAGAGCGAGACUCCGUCUCAAAA
RNAcentral lists this long non-coding RNA (12385 nucleotides) under Homo sapiens (human). Its description in RNAcentral is "HSALNT0396527". Lineage: Eukaryota; Metazoa; Chordata; Mammalia; Primates; Hominidae. The record is from RNAcentral.